RNAcentral lists this small nuclear RNA (107 nucleotides) under Carlito syrichta (Philippine tarsier). Lineage: Eukaryota; Metazoa; Chordata; Mammalia; Primates; Tarsiidae. The record is from RNAcentral.
CUGCUUGCUUCGGCAGCACAUAUACUAAAAUUGGAAUGAUACAGAGAAGAUUAGCAUGGACCCUGCACAAGGAUGACAUGCAAAUUUGUGAAGUAUUCUAUAUUUCU